GUUCAGCGAUUGAUCGAGCAAACCAGAGGUUUGAGUUGUAAGGCUGGACUGAAGUUGGAUGAAUAGAGCAUGUUAAGUCCCAGGGAGAGAGGCUGAUGAAAGAGCACACAAAAAGGGUCAGUGUCCACUUUAUGGCCCAGGCUACUAUAAAAGUACCAAGAAGCACUGCAUGUGUAUCUCCUGACAAGAGUUUUGUGUGUAGAGCUACAGCAGUCUCCACUGUCACAGGAGAGAGAGGGAGAGAGAAGGAUUCUGAAUUUCUGGCAAGAAAAAGAAUCCCAAAACUUAGUACCACUGC
Molecule: long non-coding RNA, 298 nt
Organism: Corapipo altera (White-ruffed manakin)
Lineage: Eukaryota; Metazoa; Chordata; Aves; Passeriformes; Pipridae
Exons: 3
Source: RefSeq, a predicted model, not a curated record